RNAcentral lists this ribosomal RNA (572 nucleotides) under Colletotrichum cigarro. RNAcentral's name for it is "eukaryotic LSU rRNA". The stretch from base 202 to 355 matches the Rfam family "5.8S ribosomal RNA". The record is from RNAcentral. Lineage: Eukaryota; Fungi; Ascomycota; Sordariomycetes; Glomerellales; Glomerellaceae.
CCGUAGGUGAACCUGCGGAGGGAUCAUUACUGAGUUUACGCUCUACAACCCUUUGUGAACAUACCUAUAACUGUUGCUUCGGCGGGCAGGGUCUCCGUGACCCUCCCGGCCUCCCGCCCCCGGGCGGGUCGGCGCCCGCCGGAGGAUAACCAAACUCUGAUUUAACGACGUUUCUUCUGAGUGGUACAAGCAAAUAAUCAAAACUUUUAACAACGGAUCUCUUGGUUCUGGCAUCGAUGAAGAACGCAGCGAAAUGCGAUAAGUAAUGUGAAUUGCAGAAUUCAGUGAAUCAUCGAAUCUUUGAACGCACAUUGCGCCCGCCAGCAUUCUGGCGGGCAUGCCUGUUCGAGCGUCAUUUCAACCCUCAAGCUCUGCUUGGUGUUGGGGCCCUACGGCUGACGUAGGCCCUCAAAGGUAGUGGCGGACCCUCCCGGAGCCUCCUUUGCGUAGUAACUUUACGUCUCGCACUGGGAUCCGGAGGGACUCUUGCCGUAAAACCCCCAAUUUUCCAAAGGUUGACCUCGGAUCAGGUAGGAAUACCCGCUGAACUUAAGCAUAUCAAUAAGCGGAGG